RNAcentral lists this ribosomal RNA (847 nucleotides) under uncultured bacterium. Its description in RNAcentral is "bacterial SSU rRNA". It matches the Rfam family "Bacterial small subunit ribosomal RNA", at positions 26 to 896 of the family's 1533-position model. The record is from RNAcentral.
AGAAUGAACGUUGGCGGCGUGGAUUAGGCAUGCAAGUCGAGCGAGAAACUCACUUCGGUGAGUGGAAAGCGGCGCAAGGGAGAGUAACGCGUAGAUACCUGCCCUAGGGUUCGGGAUAGCCACGGGAAACUGUGGGUAAUACCGGAUAAUGUCUCCGGACUAAAGAUUUAUUGCCUUGGGAUGGGUCUGCGUCCUAUUAGCUUGUUGGUGGGGUAAUGGCCUACCAAGGCCGAGAUGGGUAGCGGGCGUGAGAGCGUGGCCCGCCUCACUGGGACUGAGACACUGCCCAGACACCUACGGGUGGCUGCAGUCGAGAAUCUUCCGCAAUGGGCGAAAGCCUGACGGAGCGACGCCGCGUGCGGGAUGAAGGCCUUCGGGAUGUAAACCGCUGUCAGUGGGGAGCAAAUCCAGUUUACUGGUUGAGCUAUCCGCAGAGGAAGCGCAGGCUAAGUUCGUGCCAGCAGCCGCGGUAACACGAACUGCGCGAACGUUAUUCGGAAUCAUUGGGCUUAAAGAGUUCGUAGGCGGCUUAAUAAGUCGGGUGUGAAAUCCCUCGGCUCAACCGAGGAACUGCGCCCGAUACUGUUAAGCUUGAGGGAGACAGAGGUGAGCGGAACUGAUGGUGGAGCGGUGAAAUGCGUUGAUAUCAUCAGGAACACCGGUGGCGAAAGCGGCUCACUGGGUCUCUUCUGACGCUGAGGAACGAAAGCUAGGGGAGCGAACGGGAUUAGAUACCCCGGUAGUCCUAGCCGUAAACGAUGAGCACUAGGUCGAGGGGGCUUCCACACCUUCUCGGCCGUAGCGAAAGUGUUAAGUGCUCCGCCUGGGGAGUAUGGUCGCAAGGCUG